UUAGCCUUUUAAAUUAUUGUUAAAAGAAUAAUUUUGUUUACUUAAAUAUUUUGUUCGUUAUUUUGUAUAUGUUUUGUUUAUAAAAUAUAAACUGUGUAUUUUUAUAUUUUAUUUUAUUACCUUUUUAUUACUAGUGGCCAUUUUACUCGCAUAGUUGGUGGCGACAAAAAGUUACUUCUUUAUCUUCAACUAAGGUGGCGACUUUAGUGAUUGCCACUUAAGGUAUACAUUUGGUGGCGAAAAUGUAUUGCCACCUUAUUUUCAUGAAAGGUGGCGACUAAUAAGGGCCACUAAAAAGUCAUAUUUGAUGGUAAAAAAAAUACCGCCACGUUAUCUUUAAUAAGGUGGCGACUAAUAGUUGCCACUAAAAAAUCAUAUUUGGUGGCGAUAAAAUAUUGCGAUGCUAUCUUUAAUAAGGUGGCGACAAAUAAUCGCCACUAAAUGUCAUAUUUUGUGGCGAUAAAAUGUCGCCA
RNAcentral lists this long non-coding RNA (473 nucleotides) under Ananas comosus (pineapple). RNAcentral describes it as "long non-coding RNA (ACOM_LNC032518)". The record is from RNAcentral. Lineage: Eukaryota; Viridiplantae; Streptophyta; Magnoliopsida; Poales; Bromeliaceae.